Small nuclear RNA from Heterocephalus glaber (naked mole-rat), 104 nucleotides. The record is from Ensembl. NCBI's taxonomy places the organism in Eukaryota, Metazoa, Chordata, Mammalia, Rodentia, Bathyergidae.
GCAAGACUCUUUAGUGCGUGUACUAAAAUUGGAAUGAUACAGUGGAUAUUAGCAUGGCUCUGCCCAAGUUUGACAUGAAAAUUUGUGAAGCAUCCUAUAUUAAA